Aphidius gifuensis is the source of this 404-nucleotide long non-coding RNA. RefSeq lists it as uncharacterized. The record is from RefSeq and is a predicted model, not a curated record. Lineage: Eukaryota; Metazoa; Arthropoda; Insecta; Hymenoptera; Braconidae. The transcript has 3 exons.
GGUCAUAUAGGUAAAUAUAUAUGUCAUAUAUGCAAUUUAAGUAUAUGAUUGUUAACAACGUUAACAAAGUUAAACAAAGUUUUUUUUUUUUCAUUGACUUGCAUUGACUAUUCAGUAUUGACCCAUAAGCCAUAAUGAGUGCAAAGGAGAUACAUAUUAAAAAAGAUCAACAUGUCUCUGCAGAUGAUGUUGAGGAGAAAAUGGAUCUCAUCAACUCUCUUGAUAAUGAUUCCUUAGCACAAGUAUUUAUGAUGCUGCCAAUAUCUGAGCGAAUAACUAUGGAUCAAGUCUGUUCUAAAUGGAAAGAAGCCUGUCAACUAGCUUGGCAUGACAUUAAAAAAUACAAAUGUACCAAUACAAUUGUUCGUAAUAAUAAAAAAUGUGUUUUAACACAAUCACACGUA